UAGACGAUNAAGACCCUAUCAAACUUUACUUUAGUUUAACUGGGGCAGUUAAUUAAUAAAAAUUUUAAUAAAGAUUAAGUACUAAAUAGANNNCCCAACANUAGUUGAUUACANUGAACAAGUUACUGUAGGGAUAACAGCGUAAUAUAUAUCUAAAGUUCUUAUUUUGAUAUAAGUUUGCGACCUCGAUGUUGAAUUNAUAUUACUUUCAAGCGCAAGAGCCUGAAAAGUGGGUCUGUUCGACCCCUAAAUAUAUACAUGAUUUGAGUUCAAAUCGGUGUAAACCAGAUUGGUUUCUAUCUAUUNUUAUUUGUGUCUUAGUACGAAAGGACCUGAAACAAUAUUAUAUAAUNAUUUAUAUGGCAGAAAAAUGCUUUAGAUUUAGGAUCUAAUUAUAAUAGAUCAUUAUACUCUAUUUAACCUGCCUAAUCUCUGUUAUUAGAAUCCUUAUCGCAGUAGCUUUUUAUACCCUCCUAGAGCGAAAAAUUCUAAGCUACAUCC
This 501-nucleotide ribosomal RNA is filed under the name Sancus acoreensis. Its description in RNAcentral is "partial 16S ribosomal RNA". The stretch from base 2 to 302 matches the Rfam family "Bacterial large subunit ribosomal RNA", at positions 2078 to 2643 of the family's 2925-position model. The record is from RNAcentral. Lineage: Eukaryota; Metazoa; Arthropoda; Arachnida; Araneae; Tetragnathidae.